Long non-coding RNA from Passer domesticus (house sparrow), 3379 nucleotides. RefSeq lists it as uncharacterized. The transcript has 2 exons. NCBI's taxonomy places the organism in Eukaryota, Metazoa, Chordata, Aves, Passeriformes, Passeridae. The record is from RefSeq and is a predicted model, not a curated record.
GCCACCUGUCAAGUGCAAAAAACUCUGCAUGAAUUUCAAAACUAACAUUAAAAAAACCCAAAAAAAUUCUAGCCCCAGAGAAGUCCUCCAGGUAAGUGCAUGGCUUACAGAGUUAAGCAUACAGCAUGCAACACUGUAAUACAGGCAUCAAAGAAAAGCUUUAACCUAUGCGUGUUCAGUGCUUUACACAAAAAAAACAAGGAAAUAUUUUUUUAAAUGAUACAGCCAUCAGAAAACAUACAAGGUGUAAUCAGAAUGCUUUAUCAAACUCCAUCCUCUGCUUCCAGAAAGGGAUUACUGUGCAGGUUCCAGGAAAUGCAGUACACUCAGCCUGAUCCUUUGUCAGAGAGGCACUGUUCUUUGCCUUAAGGACAUACACGCUUGCUUUGCCUUUUUUCUUUCUAAAAAAACUACUGCUCAGAACAUUAACAUGUUGGUUACACCACAGGGUCCUAAAGAGGAAUUAGUUCAUGAAAAUUUGUAAAGAUGAAUCAGAAAAGGACUAAGGAGGACACAAUGUUGAGUGGCUAAGGAAGUCAGUGUGAAAGCUGACACCCUUACCAAUUUGUCUUUGCCUUUUAAACAGAUUGUAUUAGCUACUGGUUAUCUCAGUAGCAAUUAUAAUUGCUAAUAAUAAGCAAAACCACAUGAAUAUGAUGGUGUAAGAUUAUCUGCUGGUUUAAGUCCUGUAUGUUGACAAAUUUAUGAACCAAUCUGCCUGCAAUAUUCUGGUUAUCACCUAUCAGCAGGCUUUUUUGGCUGUGAAACAAUGAAAGUGAUCUGGGCUGCACAACAAGCCUCACCAGUACAAAACAGCACUGUAGAAAAACCUGUUUCACUUCUAGAGAAGCAUGAGUGAUAUGAAGCCCCUGGAGACACUGACUGCUAGUCCACCAUUCACCUCAUCACUUACCAUAUGGGGGAUUCUUUAUUUGAAAUGCCACUACUUAAAAGGCAAACUGAACUACUGAUGACACACAGGAUACAUGAACUUGAGCCUGGGAUCUCAGUACAAAGCAUUCUGGCCCAGUUCACAGGCCAAUCUCAUUGCAUCAUGCAGUUCUUAUCAGAGCAGUCUAUGCACAGGUUGCCAGUACAUGACAGGAACUGGCUCAGCACUUGGGAGUUGAACAUCAAACAGACUUCUCUACCUGUCCCAGCUAGUUACUGUUCCUGCUCCAAAAUCCAAAAAUCUGUUUAUGCAAAGCCCUCCAAUGACUUAAUUAAUUCCAGCAGGCUACUUGAUGCCUUAGCUCCAUUGCAAAGUUUACAAUAUUUAACAUAAGGAGUCUAUUAAUGAGCUACUUGACUAUUAUAUACAUACAUAUAAACUCAUUACUUCUCUAAGGCAUGCAUAUCCUAUGCCUUUAAGCAACAUACUCUUUAACAAUAUAUUAAAGAUAAAUUAGGGCAUGCGGGCAGAAAGAAGGAAAAAGUGAAUUUUGAAACUGUUAGAGAAUGCUCUUAAUACUCUUGGAACCAUAGUAAAGAAACCUCAAUCUACCACUUCUGAGAAGAGUGAGGAGUUGUGGAGCUGAGUUUUUUUGAUUCACCCUGUCUGCAUGAAGCCUCACUUAGCAGCAGCCAACAAUGCUACUGAGGAAGGAAGAAGCUGUGUUUGCUGCUAGCAGGCCCCCUGCAGCUGGCAGGACUCACACACUUGGCUGCUCCAGGGAACUGCCCCCUCCUCAGACCUUCAGAGUCCAUCAGUGCAGCAGCACCAGAGGAGUGCUACUGAUGUGCAGAAGCAUCUGGAGUAUCACCACUCCCACUUCCCUUCCUGUCUGCAAUGGAGUUGCACAGCAUGAAGAAUUUUAACAGUACCAUAUUCAAAACAAGCAGCCUUGGAAGUCAAUACUAGUUUGUCCACAUGGGAAGAGAUGCACUAUUGCAAGCUUCUACACACAAGUGUGUUAUUAUGGAAAAAACUAUUAAACUUUUGAAGAAUCUGAGAAAUGAAAUGCCCCAAGUGUUGUCACACCAUGGAUCCCUUGCUUAGGAUGACAGUGGCCAUAGAACCAGACAGCAGCAAAAGGAACAAAAAGCAAAAGGUAUGGAGGGUAGAGAGAUUGAGGGAGACAAAAGAACAGAACUGAGUACAAAAGUCAUGGCAGUGUUUUUCUCCUAGUGAGGAACAUUACCUCAUCUGCAUAGUUUACCCUGAGAAGAUGUGGUUACCAGAAUUUCCAUGAAACACCACUUCUACUUAAAAAUAUUUAGUCAGAAAGACAUGAGUGAAACAAGUCAGUUCUUGUCAAGCACAAGUGAGGAAAGGUAAUACCAUAAAAAAAGGUAUUAAUGCCAACCACAGCUGUCAUUUUUUUUUGGUGUGGAUGCCUGCUGAGUUGUGUGCUAAGGUUCUCAACUACCUGGUGCAUAGUAAAUAAAAAUCCUGUUCUGGUGACUUGACGAGAAGGAAUGUGUUAACACAGCUUACAGUGGCCAUUAAAUAUAAUGUAUUUACAGUACUCAGAACAUUCAGCAGUCUCACUUUGGUCUGAAGAGUAACUGACCACCUGGAUACACAUUGAUUCUAUGUAUGAAACUUCUAAUUACAAAACAUACCUAUUAGCAGAUAGCUCUCUGACUGGUGAGCCUUUAAAGGGAAUCUUUUCUCCAGAACAUGAUCCAAACUAGCUGGCUGGCUACCACUUUUUUCUUUGUUUCUAGGGUAAACAAAAAUGAAAACAAAAACAUAUCAAUAUAUGCAGCACUUAAAAUACGUAUUUAAUUGCCAGAAUAUAUAAUAACCAGUGCAAGGAUCAUUAGCUUUCCACUCAGGCAGCUUAUGACAAUAAAAGGUACUUCAUUUAUUCAUAAACUGCUGUUGUAGUGGCUAUGUGUCACCCUGCAGCAUUUAUGAAGGUAUUUCCUUUCUAAUGGAACAUUUUAUUUGGACACUGAAAUUAAGAUCCAUUGUCACACACUUUGAGUUUUUAUUUCAGGAAUCAACUAUGGAAAAACAGACUUCUCUGGAGCAGCGGCAAGAUGUUAUUUUAAUCCUUUGUCUUACAUGGUCAGGAUUUGCCAAGUCACUGCAGAGUCUACAUUUGUUUUCACUUUGUUGAUUUGCUGAUCCUUUGCUAAAAAUCAGCAAACCGUCAUGCCUAGUAUUCCAUGUCAAAUCGGAGUGAAAACUCACAUCACCUCCACCAGGAGCUGACACACUUACUCCAUUUCCUUCCAUAAGGACAGCAAAAUUAAGGUACCUCAGAAGAUUUCCUCUGGGUAUGCUCUGCUCCGGGGAUUGCAUGCUGGAUAUACCAAGACUCAGCCUUUUUGCACUUUCUGUUUUUCCUCCAGGGGUGCUUGGCUCUUUCUGUUGGACUGGAGUUACACCAUAUUUUUCUUCUAGAUACCUGAGAGGCACAGUCCUGUU